AUGUCGACGGACGCACUGGAGCUCAGUGGGAAUUGUGGUGUCUUCCCGAUGGAGUCCCAAGAUUCCAUGACUGCCCCAGCUCUAGAGGUCGAGAAGGGUGACGAAGAACUGAUUGGCGGAGAUGGACAGAGAUACGAGGUGUGUUCUGAAGCUACCAGCGGCUGGACGAGGAGGGUGAGGCUAGGGAAGGCGCCUGAAGAGAGGGAGAUGAACCCUGACAGGAAAACAGCUCUUGAGUCGUCUGUCCGUGCUUAUGCUGAAAAUCGUGAAGGGCAUGUCAUCAAUCCAAAGAUUGGCACAGAAUUUGACUCGCUGGACGAGGCUUAUGAAUUCUACAACCUUUAUUCAUGGGAGACUGGUUUUGGUAUACGGUUGGCAAAGAGCAGGCUAAAUGUGCAAAGAGUAAGAUGUAUGCAAGAGAUUGUGUGUGCCUGUACGGGUUCCCCAUUAAAAGAGAACAGCCGUUCGUCGAGAUGUGGUUGCAGUGCAAUGAUAAGGCUGCUGAGAUCCAAGGAUGCUGGUUGGUACAUAUCAGAGCACAAAGCAGGGCACAACCAUCCGCUCUCUAUUACAUGUGGCCAGAAAAUGCAUUGGAAGUCGCACAGGCAUAUAGAUAGAUACACCAAGGAUCUUGUGAAGCAGUUGAGGGACAACAAUGUUUCCCUUGGGAAGGUUUUCAGCAUUGUUGGUAGCUUCUUUGGUGCUGCGGAGAAUGUGCCAUUUACAAAAAGGUCUCUGAAAACAUUGUGCAGGAAGCUCAACAAGGAGCAGUCGGAUCUUGAUGCGGUAAAAACGAUGAACAUGCUUGCGGAUAUGAAAGCUGAUGAUCCAGAGUUCAACUACACAGUGCAGGUCGACGAGGAGAGCCGCAUCAGAACAUUGAUGUGGGUGACAAGUAGAGGGUGCGAUCAGUAUAGGUAUUUUGGAGAUGCAAUAACAUUUGAUACUACAUACAUGACAAACCUGUAUGAUAUGCCGUUUGGCCUGUUUGUUGGCGUUAACAACCACUUCCAAAGCAUAAUAUUCGGUGGAGCCAUGAUGAGAGACAAGAAAGAGGAAACAUUGAAAUGGAUAUUCAGGGAGUUUCUCCGCAUGGUGGGUGGCAAACAUCCGCAGACAAUACUUACAGUCAAGCACGGUCUAUGGAGCUUGCUAUUGAAGCAGAGCUGCCAAGCACAGUGCACCGUUGGUGCAAAUGGCAUGUUUUGA
RNAcentral lists this ribosomal RNA (1209 nucleotides) under Triticum aestivum (bread wheat). RNAcentral describes it as "partial small subunit ribosomal RNA". The record is from RNAcentral. Lineage: Eukaryota; Viridiplantae; Streptophyta; Magnoliopsida; Poales; Poaceae.